GCGAGGCUCUUCCGGUUGAGGUCUGAGCGGUAGUGGCCUUCCUUCUCCCUGGAAACUGCCUCCCUUGGAGGUUGAGCUCCCUGGGCCGACUCUGGCCGGUGUUCUCCUCUGUGUCCUUGUGGGCUCUUAGGACUCCCUACAGGGAGGGUGUUUCCCCUGCCUCUUCCCAGCUAGUCUUUCUGACUUCCGGCAGCUGGCAUGCUCUGAACCUGGCUCUAGGCUUCCUGACACAGUGUCCCUUCCAGUCAGCUCUGAGUUGGGGCAGGGCCAGCCCCAGGGCAGGGCACCCAAGCAGGCAGGGAGCUGGCUGGGAGCCCUGGCUUUCUCUUGCCUGGUGCUGCGGGGUAAGCGACUUCCUGUGACCUGGAGGGAACACGUGCUGGCCCCCGUGGGUGGGGACGCGUUCCCUCCCCAGGUCUGUGCUGCUCUCCUCUGUCC
RNAcentral lists this long non-coding RNA (438 nucleotides) under Marmota monax (woodchuck). The record is from RNAcentral. Lineage: Eukaryota; Metazoa; Chordata; Mammalia; Rodentia; Sciuridae.